AGUUGUUGCUGGUCUUUUCGAAGGCAUGUGCACGCUAUGUCAUCUUUAUCUCUCCACCUGUGCACCUUUUGUAGACCUAGAUUCAACUUUCCGAGCGGGUUGUGAGGAAUUGCUUCCUUGUAUGUCUCUAGGCCUAUGUUUUUCAUAUACACCAGUUAUGUAAUAGAAUGUAAUUCCAAAUGGGUCAUUUGUGUCCUAUAAAUUAUAUACAACUUUCAGCAACGGAUCUCUUGGCUCUCGCAUCGAUGAAGAACGCAGCGAAAUGCGAUAAGUAAUGUGAAUUGCAGAAUUCAGUGAAUCAUCGAAUCUUUGAACGCACCUUGCGCUCCUUGGUAUUCCGAGGAGCAUGCCUGUUUGAGUGUCAUUAAUAUUCAACCUUUUUGCAGCUUUUUGUUUGUUGAGUGUUGGAUGUGGGGGGCAACUCCCCUAAAUGUAUAGCAGAAUCAGCUCGUUCAUUGGGUGUGAUAAAUAUUACACUAUAAUGGACAUAAUUCAGCUUUAAUAGUCCAUGACUGGAC
This 518-nucleotide ribosomal RNA is filed under the name uncultured Cortinarius. RNAcentral's name for it is "eukaryotic LSU rRNA". The stretch from base 211 to 364 matches the Rfam family "5.8S ribosomal RNA". The record is from RNAcentral. Lineage: Eukaryota; Fungi; Basidiomycota; Agaricomycetes; Agaricales; Cortinariaceae.